GAUGAAGAACGUAGUGAAAUGCGAUACGUAAUGUGAAUUGCAGAUUUCAGUGAAUCAUCGAAUCUUUGAACGCACAUUGCGCCCGCUAGUAUUCUGGCGGGCAUGCCUGUUCGAGCGUCAUUUCAACCAUCAAGCGGCUCGCUUGUGUUGGGGCCCUGCGGCUGCCGCAGGCUCCUAAAUCUAGUGGCGGGCUCGUCGUCGUACCGAGUGCAGUAAACAUCCUCGCUCAGGGAAGUCGACGGGUUCUAGCCGUGAAACACCCCCUAUCUUAAGGUUGACCUCGGAUCAGGUAGGAAUACCCGCUGAACUUAAGCAUAUCAAUAAGCGGAGGAU
Molecule: unclassified non-coding RNA, 333 nt
Filed under: soil metagenome
Description: partial contains 5.8S ribosomal RNA, internal transcribed spacer 2, and large subunit ribosomal RNA
Rfam family: 5.8S ribosomal RNA (bases 1-120)
Source: RNAcentral